AUUGAACGCUGGCGGCAGGCCUAACACAUGCAAGUCGAACGGUAACAGGAAGAAGCUUGCUUCUUUGCUGACGAGUGGCGGACGGGUGAGUAAUGCCUGGGAAACUGCCUGAUGGAGGGGGAUAACUACUGGAAACGGUAGCUAAUACCGCAUAACGUCGCAAGACCAAAAAGGGGGACCUUCGGGCCUCUUGCCAUCGGAUGUGCCCAGAUGGGAUUAGCUAGUAGGUGGGGUAACGGCUCACCUAGGCGACGAUCCCUAGCUGGUCUGAGAGGAUGACCAGCCACACUGGAACUGAGACACGGUCCAGACUCCUACGGGAGGCAGCAGUGGGGAAUAUUGCACAAUGGGCGCAAGCCUGAUGCAGCCAUGCCGCGUGUAUGAAGAAGGCCUUCGGGUUGUAAAGUACUUUCAGCGGGGAGGAAGGGAGUAAAGUUAAUACCUUUGCUCAUUGACGUUACCCGCAGAAGAAGCACCGGCUAACUCCGUG
This 490-nucleotide ribosomal RNA is filed under the name uncultured bacterium. RNAcentral describes it as "partial 16S ribosomal RNA". It matches the Rfam family "Bacterial small subunit ribosomal RNA", at positions 30 to 507 of the family's 1533-position model. The record is from RNAcentral.